AGCAGCCGCGGUAAUUCCAGCUCCAAUAGCGUAUAUUAAAGUUGUUGCAGUUAAAAGCUCGUAGUUGAAUUUCGGGAUCAAUAUGUUGGUCGUGCCUUGGUACGUACUGGCAUUAUCGAUUCCUACCUUCUGAAGAACCUCGAUGUCAUUAAUUUGGUGUCUUGGGGAAUCAGGACUGUUACUUUGAAAAAUUAGAGUGUUUAAAGCAGGCUCGCGCUUGAAUACAUUAGCAUGGAAUAAUGAAAUAGGACGUUUGAUUCUAUUUUGUUGGUUUCUAGGAUCGACGUAAUGAUUAAUAGGGAUAGUUGGGGGCAUUAGUAUUCAAUUGUCAGAGGUGAAAUUCUUGGAUUUAUUGAAGACUAACUACUGCGAAAGCAUUUGCCAAGGAUGUUUUCAUUAAUCAAGAACGAAAGUUAGGGGAUCGAAGACGAUCAGAUACCGUCGUAGUCUUAACCAUAAACUAUGCCGGCUAGGGAUCGGAUGAUGUUAAUUUUUUAAUGACUCAUUCGGCGUCCG
RNAcentral lists this unclassified non-coding RNA (516 nucleotides) under uncultured Glomus. RNAcentral's name for it is "SSU rRNA". It matches the Rfam family "Eukaryotic small subunit ribosomal RNA", at positions 569 to 1089 of the family's 1831-position model. Lineage: Eukaryota; Fungi; Glomeromycota; Glomeromycetes; Glomerales; Glomeraceae. The record is from RNAcentral.